This 3969-nucleotide long non-coding RNA is filed under the name Lathyrus oleraceus (garden pea). RNAcentral describes it as "Pisum sativum (pea) long non-coding RNA (PSAT_LNC003399)". The record is from RNAcentral. Lineage: Eukaryota; Viridiplantae; Streptophyta; Magnoliopsida; Fabales; Fabaceae.
AAAACCAAGCCUGGAGACCAUGACGAUCUCCCUGUCAUAGAGCUGACGCCCGUCAGCAUCUCAAGGUGCAUGAUGGGUAACUCGUCAUCUGGGUGACGCCCGUCACCCUGCACCAGAAGGAAAAAACACUAAUUCUUCCAUGAGAGUUACCUUGAACUUUGAUUUAUGAUCCCUAAUCAUUCCCACACGCCCAAAAAAUGAUAAUGCAUGUAAUAACAUCAUUAUAACAUACCAAAUCAUUGAAUUACACAAAUUAUUCAUGAACUUCAACACAUUCAUGUUUAUGUUCAAACCUUCAACAACCCCAACAAUGACAUACAAACAUAUACACAUAAACAUAAUCAUAUAUACACAAAUCAAAUCACGAAAUUUAGAUGAACACACCUUUAAUUAUCAAUUUCCAGAACCACAUAUAACAACAACAAUUCAUAAGCAUUUCACAUAAUUCCUAAAGAGAGUAAGAGUAUCUCUUCUCUAUCUUUUCAUGCAAUACAUGCAUAUAGAAGCCCCCUCCCCCCCUUUAUGUUAGGUUCCUUGCAAAAAUCUGAAUUGGUGAUGGUGUGUUCUUCCCUUUCCAAGCCCUAGUCUCAUUUGCUCUUCCAAACUCUAUUUAACGUACUGACAACCCUUAGGUCUCUAAUCCGUUUUUAUCUAAUUUAAUCUUUAGGUAAUUAUACUAAGACCCAAUUCUUUUUAAAAUUUUCACUAUUUCCCUUUUGUUCCUAUUUUCCACCCAUAAACUUAUAUUUCUAUUUAUUUUAAUUAAUUAAUAAAAACAAUUAUUCAUUCUAAUUAUUUAUAAUUAUUCUAAUUCUCCUAAUCCUUCUAUCACCCCAUCAAUGCUCUCACCACACCCUACCACAUAUACAUACCACUCAAUAUAUUUAAUUAAAAAUAUAUCACAUACUAAAUAAUUAAAUAAAAAUACGAAUAAUCUGACUAAAUCAAUUAAUCAAAUCUAGGGGUGUUACAUAGUUGAAGAAGAAGAAGAAGAUGAAAGUGAUACACAGUCUGAUUAUCUGUUGAACACCAACAGUGAAGAUGGUAAUCAUCAAGCGCCAUUACCUCCAAGUCACGUAUAUUGUCUACCACAAUAUAUGACAAACUUGAACUUGAAUGGUGAUGAGUCAUCCUCUAAUAUUUUUUACAAUCCAUAUAUGCGGUUAGAGGGUGAGUUAAAAGUGGGAGACAGGUUCCACACUAAAGAAGAGUGAAUGUGAGCUAUCAAAAAAUUUCACAUGGAGAACUCUGUUGAUUAUACCGUAGAUCACACUAAUGCAAGAAGAUAUGUCAUUCUUUGUCGUAAUGUGCUUUGCAUGUUUCGACUAGCACCGUCUUACAGGAAGAUAAUUGAUUCAUGGGAGAUAAGUUAUAUACAUUUAUCUCACAAUUGAACCGCCACUAUUAUUGCACAUGAUCACCAUAAAUUAAACUCUAAAAUAAUAUGUCAAGACAUUUUGUCUUUUGUUAGCAAGGAGCCAUCAAUGAAGGUAAGUAUACUAAUCUUUCAUAUUGUUACAUGAUAUAAUUAUAAUCCCUCAUACAAGAAAGUGUGGAUUGCAAGAAAAAAUGCUAUUGAACGAGUAUACGAAAAUUAGAAGGAUUCGUACAAAAAAAAAUCCACAAUAAUUGGUGACACUUAAGACAUAUACUCUGGGAACUGUUACAAUUUUGAAGACACGGUCGGCAUAUACGCCGUACAGAACUUGUGUCAGUGGAAAUAUAAUAUUUCAUCGAUUCUUUUUAGGCAUUUCAACCAUGCAUCAAAGAUUUUGCGUUUUGCAAACUUAUUCCUAAAAUUGAUGGAACAUGGUUGUACGGGAAAUACAAGGGCACAUUACUUAUGACAGGGGCACAAGACGACAACAAUAAUAUAUUUCCCAUUGCCUUCGCUCUGAUUGAAGGUGAGACUUUGAGUGGUUAGAGUUUCUUUCUCAAGAAUCUCAUAACAUAUGUUGCUCCACAAUCCAACCUCUGUUUGAUUUCAGACAGACAUGCAUCUAUUGAGAGUGUGUAUAAUAAUCCUGAGAAUGGAUGACAAAAUCCUCCUUCUAGCCAUGUCUACUGCAUUAGACAUAUUGCACAAAACUUCAUGCGAGAAAUCAGAGACAAGAACCUUUGGAAAAAAUGUUGUGAUUGUAGUGUACUCCCUCCGUCCCAUAUUAUAAGCAAAUUUCACCUUUCUAGAUUCAUUAAAUAAUUAAUGUAUCUGGUUUAUUAUAUAGAUCAGAUACAUUAAUUAUUUAAUGAAUCUAAAAAGGUGAAAUUUACAAAUUUCACCUUUCUAGAUUCAUUAAAUAAUUAAUGUAUCUGGUUUAUUAUAUAGAUCAGAUACAUUAAUUAUUUAAUGAAUCUAAAAAGGUGAAAUUUGCUUAUAAUAUGGGACGGAGGGAGUAUGCUUUAAUUCAGCCAUCAUUCCGACACUAUCGUAGGGAAAUUAGAUUGUCAAAUGCGGAUGCAUUAAUGUGUGUGGAUAACAUUCCAUUGGAGAAGUGGAUAAUGGAAUUUGACGAAGGACGCCGAUGGGGCCACAUGACAAUAAACCUUGUUCAGUCCAUGAACAACUUCUUCAAAGACAUUAGAAACCUAUCAAUAAUCGCGUUGGUGAGAGCAAUAUAUUUUAGGUUGGGAUCACUUUUUACAUCCAUAGGCAAAAAAUGGAGUUCGGUGUUACGGUUGAGACAAUUAUUCAGUAAAAGUUGCAUGAAAGUGAUGAAGGGGGAAACUAUCAAAGCUAGCACACAUGGGGUUACAAUCUUUGACCGUCGUAGACACAGUUUUAGUGUAAAAGAAAUAAUGGACCACAAUGAGGGGAGGCCGAAUGAAGACUAUCAGAUCGAACUAAAUAGAGGUUGGUGCGAUUGUGGCAAGUUUCAAGCCUUAUGUAUGUCUUGCUCCGAUGUCAUUGCGACAUAUUCAUAUGCUCGCCAUAACACUUCCAAGCAUGUAUCUGCCGUUUACAAAGUCGCAAAUGUAUUCAAUGUAUACAACAAUAACUUCCCGAUGAUAGUAAAAGGGGACUAUUUACCUACAUAUCAAGGGAACAUAAUUUGAUGCGAUAAAAAUAUGCGACAGAAGAAAAAAUAUCGCUCCAACAGCACAUAUAUUAAAACAAAAAUUGAUAUAACUAAUAAAAUGGUAAUAUUAAAAUAAAUUUGCAUGAUAAUUUUUUUUCUUUAAAUUUUUAUAACCUUAUUAUUUUAUAUAUAUAUAUAUAUAUAUAUAUAUUAAUUUUUGGUUACAACAAAAAUAACAUAAACACUCUAUCAAUAAUUAAGUUAAGAAAGCAUAAAAUUAAUUAAGCUUAAUCUUUAGUAUAUUUAAUAAUCCAAUAAAGAAAAUUUAAAAACACAUUGAAAUAUCAACACCGUUUGAUUUCCAUCAAACAAAAGCACUUGAAAUCUCAACUCCAUGAGACACACAAUUUCACAAAAUCUCAAAUCUCUUAUCCAACCCAAGUGAGAUAACAAAACACAAAGUAUCAUAAAUCACCACCAAUAACAACAAUCCAUCUCAGCAUCUUUACUUCUCUCACCUUAUCCAAAAUCCAUUUUCCCACCACCAAUUUCUCUCCACACAGAAUCUAAAAACCUUCUCUUCUUCUCUUUCCAAUAUCAUCACACAAAUCAAAUCCAUCACACACAAACACCAUUCUUUUUUCCUCACAAAAAAAUGUCUCUCACCAUUCCAACUAACCUCUCGAAACCCACCUCAACCCUAAGACCCAAACUCACCCAAAAACCAAAACUCUCCACCAUCAUCCACUGCAGCACAAACCAAACCCCAAACAAUCAAACCGACCAUGCAAACUCAAAUCUAAAAGCCUUCUCCGCUGCACUAGCCCUCUCCUCAAUCCUCAUCUCAUCCCCACUCCCGGCCGUCGCCGACAUCUCCGGCUUAACCCCAUGCAAAGAAUCAAAACAGUUCGCCAAACGCGAAAAACAGUCAAUCAAAAAACUCGAGUCCUCC